Molecule: long non-coding RNA, 370 nt
Filed under: Cricetulus griseus (Chinese hamster)
Lineage: Eukaryota; Metazoa; Chordata; Mammalia; Rodentia; Cricetidae
Description: lncRNA (ENSCGRG00015030434.1)
Source: RNAcentral
GGAGCACUUGAAAGCCACGCAGCUGUGAAGGGUGAGGAACACUGCUUAGCUGGGGAAGUGCUGGCCCGCAGCCUGUUCUUAAUCUGCUACGUUACCUUUGUCAUAAAACAAGACUCCACACAUGAUGGAACCUUGGACCAGUACACACCAGGAAAGGAAGAGACACCACCUGCACCCACUGGAAGAAGAGAUGGGAAGACGACAAUAUAAGAACAUAUCCAACAACAGAAAAACCAAUAUGAUGCCACCAGAUUCUAGGGACUUUUUCUUUUUGAGACUCCUUCGUACUCUUGGAAUUAUUUUUAUUUAGUUUCUUACAUUUCCUCAAACUCUAACUUUUUUUAUAAUUCUUAAUAAAGCUUAAUUCAGC